GCAAAAAACUGCGUAGGAGAUCAUUAAUACAAUAGUAUUAUAUAAACCAAGCCUGAUGUUGGCCGCUCAUUCAAAGAAUGCAGCAGUGUGACAGCCAGCAAUCAAAAGUAACAAGAUGUCGAGGAAAUGCAGAGUGUAAUAAACUGUGUAGGAGAUUAUGAUUGCAAUAGAAUAAAAUCGACCAAGCCUGAAGUCCUUCAAUGCACGCAGCAGUGUGACAGCCAGCAAUCAAAAGUUACAAUAUAUCGAGGAAAUACAGAAGGCAAAGAAGCAGAUGUCAUCAAAGAAGAUCUUUGUUCCUGAAAUGUUUCCGCAGACGAUACAUCCAACAGAGCGAAGUGGAAGGAAAAGACUCGGAAAAAAGACCCCACCACCAUAUGGGAACAAUGCAAGGGAGAGAGA
Long non-coding RNA from Pectinophora gossypiella (pink bollworm), 402 nucleotides. RefSeq lists it as uncharacterized. The transcript is spliced from 3 exons. The record is from RefSeq and is a predicted model, not a curated record. Lineage: Eukaryota; Metazoa; Arthropoda; Insecta; Lepidoptera; Gelechiidae.